GCAAUUUGCACAUACUUACCUACAAAUACAAGUAAUGGAUCCCAGGCCUAAUUGCAGUGGACUAAUAACUGUUUACUUACUGAACUUGGAGUGAAACCUUCUGACAGUGCUGCUGAAACACUGCCUACUUUGGUUUGAAAUUCACCUGGGUUUAGUGACGUAUGACACGCAGGCCAUGUGAGGACACAGUGAGAAGAUGGACAUCUGCAAGCCGGGAAGAGAGGCCUCACCAGAAACAGAGUAUGCUGGCACCA
This 254-nucleotide long non-coding RNA is filed under the name Homo sapiens (human). Its description in RNAcentral is "HSALNT0092233". The record is from RNAcentral. Lineage: Eukaryota; Metazoa; Chordata; Mammalia; Primates; Hominidae.